This is a long non-coding RNA of Arachis stenosperma, 1106 nucleotides long. RefSeq lists it as uncharacterized. The record is from RefSeq and is a predicted model, not a curated record. The transcript has 3 exons. NCBI's taxonomy places the organism in Eukaryota, Viridiplantae, Streptophyta, Magnoliopsida, Fabales, Fabaceae.
GUGUCCCUGCUUGAGUUCGGACCUUUCUAUGAGAGCUUCGAUCUCUUUGGAGAAGUCGUGCUCAAACAUCUUGGUUCAGUCCGUUCUUCCGUUUGCGAGUUUUUUAAAUGCGAAGCGUUUUGUUUUUCAGCUCUUUUAUUGUCGCGUUCGUUCCUCGAGGGGGUUACUUCCUUGGAAACAUGCACGCGCUUUUAAUGCUACUUGAUGGUGCUUUUACUUCGUCGUUUCUUUUUCUCUCUUCUCAAUUUGAAUUUUAACCCUUUUCUUCUUCCUUUGCUUACUUCAUUUCUAAAAAAGAAUUUACUUUUGCCCCAAGCUUUUUCUUCUUUCUCUGGAGUUUUCUCCUCUUAGACCGUUCGUGUAUUUCACUUGCUCGGUGGAGAAAAGCUUCCUUUCUCCUUGCCCCCUGACCCAAGAUUGCCUCUUUUGGAGUUUCUCCUUUUGGUAGCAGCUGUGUCUUGCGGCUUCGUGCAUUUCGUCUUUCUGCUUUCUUCUUUUUCAGGGAUAGUUGGCUAGUUAACAUAGGUGGCCAUGUUGACAGGUUUUAACAGGAAAAGGGCAUUUACGAAGGAGUAAGAGGAGGGUCGCUGCACAAGUCAAACAGGAUAAUGUCGACCCAAAUGAGUCGACGGAGCCUAUAAUUGGAACUGCUCAAAGCGAGAAUGUAAUUUCGUGGCCUGAUGUAGGCCUUGGAGCUUCUAAAAUCACUGAAAAAAGGGACAUAACUCCAUCUGUCACAUAAAGGUUGGCUCCUGCAUGGGUAUAUUGUUGUUAAAUAGGCCUAAUUAUAACUCCUUUCAAUUUGUGCGAUGAAGUAGACUGAUUUUACGCAUACUAUGUUUGUUAAAUAAUUUGAGGUUCUGUCCUUGGAGAGCUAGCUGUUGUGCGCCAUUGAGAGUUAGUAACGGUUGCAGAAGUAUUUUUUAUUGUCAUUCGGGCUAGUAUGUUAUUUUAUUGUGUGGACCUUAUUCAUAGUGCUUCAUUUAAUAGUACUUUCAUUAUACAUUAUCUUUUCGGAACGAUUGAUUGGGAUUAGGGACGGAUCCAAGAUUGCAAGUAAUGGCCUUAGCCUGUUCAAAAUUUUAAAGAAGUAUAUAUAUUAGAUA